UACGUAGGGGGCGAGCGUUGUCCGAAGUUACUGGGCGUAAAGCGCGCGUAGGCGGGGGGUUAAGUGAGAGGUGAAAGGCUGGGGCUCAACCUCAUGCAGUGCCUCUCAUACUGGCCUUCUUGAGGGCGGUAGGGAGAAGUGGAAUGGCUGGUGUAGCGGUGAAAUGCGUAGAUAUCAGUCGGAACACCGGUGGCGAAGGCGGCUUCUUGGGCCGUUCCUGACGCUGAGGCGGCGAAAGCUGGGGGAGCGAACGGG
This 255-nucleotide ribosomal RNA is filed under the name uncultured bacterium. Its description in RNAcentral is "partial 16S ribosomal RNA". It matches the Rfam family "Bacterial small subunit ribosomal RNA", at positions 524 to 776 of the family's 1533-position model. The record is from RNAcentral.